AUUGAACGCUGGUGGCAUGCCUUACACAUGCAAGUCGAACGGUAACGGGUCCUUCGGGAUGCCGACGAGUGGCGAACGGGUGAGUAAUAUAUCGGAACGUGCCCAGUAGUGGGGGAUAACUGCUCGAAAGAGCAGCUAAUACCGCAUACGACCUGAGGGUGAAAGGGGGGGAUCGCAAGACCUCUCGCUAUUGGAGCGGCCGAUAUCAGAUUAGCUAGUUGGUGGGGUAAAGGCCUACCAAGGCAACAAUCUGUAGUUGGUCUGAGAGGACGACCAGCCACACUGGGACUGAGACACGGCCCAGACUCCUACGGGAGGCAGCAGUGGGGAAUUUUGGACAAUGGGCGCAAGCCUGAUUCAGCAAUGCCGCGUGCAGGAAGAAGGCCUUCGGGUUGUAAACUGCUUUUGUCAGGGAAGAAAUCUUCUGGGCUAAUACCCCGGGAGGAUGACGGUACCUGAAGAAUAAGCACCGGCCAACUACGUGCCAGCCGCCGCCGUAA
Molecule: ribosomal RNA, 500 nt
Filed under: uncultured bacterium
Lineage: Bacteria
Description: partial 16S ribosomal RNA
Rfam family: Bacterial small subunit ribosomal RNA
Source: RNAcentral